Molecule: ribosomal RNA, 1378 nt
Filed under: Pseudozoogonoides subaequiporus
Lineage: Eukaryota; Metazoa; Platyhelminthes; Trematoda; Plagiorchiida; Zoogonidae
Description: SSU rRNA
Rfam family: Eukaryotic small subunit ribosomal RNA
Source: RNAcentral
UGGCGAUCGAAAAGAUUAAGCAUGCAUGUCUAUGUACACACCUUUAAACGGUGAAAUCGCGAAUGGCUCAUUAAAUCAGCUUUGGUUCCUUGGAUCGUGCAUACUACAUGGAUAACUGUAGUAAUUCUAGAGCUAAUACAUGCCACUAUGCCCUGACCCGCAAGGGGAUGGGUGGAUUUAUUAGAACAGAACCAACCGGUAGUGAUUCAUUGCUGCCGUUGUAAUCUGUGAUGACUCUGGAUAACUUUACUGAUCGCAGUUGGCCUUGUGCCGGCGACGGAUCCUUCAAAUAUCUGCCCUAUCAAUUUUCGAUGGUAGGUGACCUGCCUACCAUGGUUAUAACGGGUAACGGGGAAUCAGGGUUCGAUUCCGGAGAGGGAGCCUGAGAAACGGCUACCACUUCCAAGGAAGGCAGCAGGCGCGCAAAUUACCCAAUCCCGGCACGGGGAGGUAGUGACGAAAAAUACGGAUACAGGACUCAUACGAGGCUCUGUAAUUCGAAUGAGUACAAUUUAAAUCCUUUAACGAGGAUCAACUGGAGGGCAAGUCUGGUGCCAGCAGCCGCGGUAACUCCAGCUCCAGAAGCGUAUAUUAAAGUUGUUGCGGUUAAAAAGCUCGUAGUUGGAUCUGGGUCGCAUGGCCGCGUACCGUUGCUUUUGGCCUUCGGGUCAUUGCUUUCCGGUUUCGUGGCUGUGUGGUCUUUCUGCCGUAUCUGUUUCGACAGGUGUCAAUUGGUUUGUGCUUUUUGGCAUGCUUCCAGAUGCCUUUAAACGGGUGUCGGGGGCGGACGGCACGUUUACUUUGAACAAAUUUGAGUGCUCAAAGCAGGCUUAUGCCUGAAAAUUCUUGCAUGGAAUAAUGGAAUAGGACUUCGGUUCUAUUUUGUUGGUUUUCGGAUCCGAAGUAAUGGUUAAGAGGGACAGACGGGGGCAUUUGUAUGGCGGUGUUAGAGGUGAAAUUCUUGGAUCGCCGCCAGACAGACUACAGCGAAAGCAUUUGCCAAGGAUGUUUUCAUUGAUCAUGAGCGAAAGUCAGAGGUUCGAAGACGAUCAGAUACCGUCCUAGUUCUGACCAUAAACGAUGCCAACUGACAAUCCGUGGGCGUUCUUUAAGUGGCCCCACGGGCAGUCCCCGGGAAACCUUUAAGUCUUUGGGCUCCGGGGGAAGUAUGGUUGCAAAGCUGAAACUUAAAGGAAUUGACGGAAGGGCACCACCAGGAGUGGAGCCUGCGGCUUAAUUCGACUCAACACGGGAAAACUCACCCGGCCCGGACACUGUGAGGAUUGACAGAUUGAGAGCUCUUUCUUGAUUCGGUGGAUGGUGGUGCAUGGCCGUUCUUAGUUGGUGGAGCGAUUUGUCUGGUUAAUUCCGAUAACGA